Non-coding RNA from Stegodyphus mimosarum, 73 nucleotides. Lineage: Eukaryota; Metazoa; Arthropoda; Arachnida; Araneae; Eresidae. The record is from Rfam.
GCCUUCGUGGUGUAGUGGUCAGCACGCUCGACGCGUAACCGAGAGCUUCGUGGUUCGAUUCCAGUCGAAGACG